GAGUUUGAUCGUGGCUCAGAGCGAACGCUGGCGGCAGGCCUAACACAUGCAAGUCGAGCGCCCGGGCAACCGGGAGCGGCAGACGGGAGAGUAACACGUGGGAACGUGCCCUUCAGUUCGGAACAACCCAGGGAAACUUGGGCUAAUACCGAAUACGCCCGCAAGGGGAAAGGAUUUAUCGCUGAAGGAGCGGCCCGCGUCUGAUUAGCUAGUUGGUGAGGUAAACGGCUCACCAAAGGCGACGAUCAGUAGCUGGUCUGAGAGGAUGAUCAGCCUCACU
Molecule: ribosomal RNA, 280 nt
Filed under: uncultured Alphaproteobacteria bacterium
Lineage: Bacteria; Pseudomonadati; Pseudomonadota; Alphaproteobacteria
Description: partial 16S ribosomal RNA
Rfam family: Bacterial small subunit ribosomal RNA
Source: RNAcentral